RNAcentral lists this ribosomal RNA (254 nucleotides) under uncultured bacterium. RNAcentral's name for it is "partial 16S ribosomal RNA". It matches the Rfam family "Bacterial small subunit ribosomal RNA", at positions 524 to 776 of the family's 1533-position model. The record is from RNAcentral.
UACGUAGGGUGCAAGCGUUAAUCGGAAUUACUGGGCGUAAAGCGUGCGCAGGCGGUUUUGUAAGUCAGAUGUGAAAUCCCCGGGCUUAACCUGGGAACUGCGUUUGAAACUACAAGGCUAGAGUGUGGCAGAGGGGGGUGGAAUUCCGACGUGUAGCAGUGAAAUGCGUAGAGAUGUGGAGGAAUACCGAUGGCGAAGGCAGCCCCCUGGGAUAACACUGACGCUCAUGCACGAAAGCGUGGGGAGCAAACAGG